AUGAGGAUCAAAUUCAUGACCCACCCUUUUCAUCUCUCUCAUCGACCCUUUCUUUACCCAUACCCUUCCAUGAACAACAAAAUCAAGACAAUCAAUCACCUUAAACAAAAUUCUUUUAAUUUCAAAACACAAACAACAUAUUCAAAAUGGAAUCAGUUAAACAGAGGAAAGAAUUCUAACGUGAAUCUCCAGCGUGUGUGGGGUAGUCGUCAGAAGCCUCUUCGUCAGAGGUUGUGCGACAAGGUGGUGGUCCGCGAUUCAGAGGGCGAAUCUUGGCGUGGAGGUGAGCGGUUGUGA
Non-coding RNA from Vicia faba (fava bean), 297 nucleotides. NCBI's taxonomy places the organism in Eukaryota, Viridiplantae, Streptophyta, Magnoliopsida, Fabales, Fabaceae. The record is from the annotation of a GenBank genome assembly.